Molecule: ribosomal RNA, 489 nt
Filed under: uncultured Acidobacteriaceae bacterium
Lineage: Bacteria; Pseudomonadati; Acidobacteriota; Terriglobia; Terriglobales; Acidobacteriaceae
Description: bacterial SSU rRNA
Rfam family: Bacterial small subunit ribosomal RNA
Source: RNAcentral
AGAGUUUGAUCCUGGCUCAGAAUCAACGCUGGGCGGCGUGCCUAACACAUGCAAGUCGCACGAGAAAGUGGGGGCAACUCCAUGAGUAAAGUGGCGUACGGGUGAGUAACACGUGACUAACCUACCUCCGAAUGGGGAAUAACACCGGGAAACCGGUGCUAAUACCGCAUAACAUCCACGGAUCAAAGCAGCAAUGCGUUUGGAGAGGGGGUCGCGGCUGAUUAGCUAGUUGGUGGGGUAAUGGCCCACCAAGGCGACGAUCAGUAUCCGGCCUGAGAGGGCGCACGGACACACUGGAACUGAAACACGGUCCAGACUCCUACGGGAGGCAGCAGUGGGGAAUUUUGCGCAAUGGGGGAAACCCUGACGCAGCAACGCCGCGUGGAGGAUGAAGGUCUUUGGAUUGUAAACUCCUUUCGAUCGGGACGAUUAUGACGGUACCGGAAGAAGAAGCACCGGCUAACUCUGUGCCAGCAGCCGCGGUAAUAC